GCAGGAAACUUUUCUUGACCCUCUCCUCUGAGGUGCUUCAGAAAUUGAGGCUUCAUUGAGAGCUACAAACCUGCUGUUCCGACUGGCCCUGACACCUUUCUUAAUCAUCUGAACCGAUAGAAACAGCACAAUGCUUCACCACUUCUUAGUUCAUGCAGCUUUUCAGACCAGCAGAUGGCUUCCAAGAGAUCAAAGGUUAAAAUUUCAGAUAGUUCUUUUCAUCUUUGCGGUGCUUUUCCUGGCACCACAGUUUUAUGUUUUGUCAAGGCCAAAAUCUUCUCGCUAUUGUGAAAAGCCACUAUUGAACAAUCUUAUAGCCUUCAUUGUGUUCUCUUUUAUAGCAACAGGUUUGGCUGUAGCACUUACACUCACUGACCCAGUUCCCAAGAGCAUCAGGGUAGCUUUUCACUCAUUUGGGCUGUUUGCAUUUAUACAGGGACUUUGUACAGUCAUUUUUACCCUGUCGGCUCCUCAGUGUGAGAAGACCACCACUGAAUUGUACAUCUUUUCUUUGGUUGUCUCUUGGGCCUGCAUACUUUCAACGGCUUUCUUUCUGGUCAGAGGAGGUCUUUGCCUUGUUCACAGACUAUUUCCUCAUUGGUUCCGAGAUAUGUGCCUCUGGGAUUGA
RNAcentral lists this long non-coding RNA (628 nucleotides) under Carassius auratus (goldfish). RNAcentral's name for it is "lncRNA (ENSCARG00000047409.1)". Lineage: Eukaryota; Metazoa; Chordata; Actinopteri; Cypriniformes; Cyprinidae. The record is from RNAcentral.